This 950-nucleotide ribosomal RNA is filed under the name uncultured archaeon. Its description in RNAcentral is "bacterial SSU rRNA". It matches the Rfam family "Archaeal small subunit ribosomal RNA", at positions 1 to 943 of the family's 1478-position model. The record is from RNAcentral.
UUCCGGUUGAUCCCGCCGGACCUGACUGCUAUUGGAGUAGGACUAAGUCACGCUAGUCAAAGGUGCAGAAUGGAGCACCUGGCGUACGGCUCAGUAACACGUAGUCAACCUACCCUAAGGACGAUGACAACCACGGGAAACUGUGGAUAAUCUUCGAUAGGAAAUUUGGCCUGGAACGGUAUCUUUCCUAAAACCGGCUCGCCGUGAGACACGGGCCUUAGGAUGGGGCUGCGGCCGAUUAUGCUUGAUGGCGGUGUAAAGGACCACCAUGGCGACGAUCGGUAUGGGCAAUGGAAGUUGGAGCCCAGAGUCGCUAACUGAGACAAGGUAGCGAGCCUUACGAGGCUUAGCGGUCGCGAAAACUCGCCAAUGCACGAAAGUGUGAGUGGGCUACUCCAAGUGUCAUUCUUACGGAUGACUGUCGCUCAGUAUUACAAGCUGAGAAAGGAAGGAGAGGGCAAGGCUGGUGCCAGCCGCCGCGGUAAAACCAGCUCUUCGAGUGGUCAGGACGAAUAUUGGGUCUAAAGCGCUCGUAGCCGGACAUGUAGGUUCCUGGUUAAAUCCGACAGCAUAACUGUCGACCUGCUGGGAAUACCGCAAGUCUUGGGAGCGGGAGAGGAUAGAGGUAGUCAUAGGGCAGGGGUGAAAUCCAGUGAUCCUAUGGCGACCACCGGUGGCGAAGGCAUCUAUCUGGAACGUCUCCGACGGUGUGGGGCGAAAGCUAGGGGAGCGACCCGGAUUAGAUACCCGGUUAGUCCUAGCCGUAAACGAUGCCGACUAGGUGUUGCGACGGCCAAGAGCCGUUGCGGUGCCACAGCGAAGCGUUAAGUCGGCCACCUGGGGAGUACGGUCGCAAGACUGAAACUUAAAGGAAUUGACGGGGGCGCACCACCAGGAGUGAAGCCUGCGGUUUAAUUGGAUUCAACGCCGGAAAUCACUAGUGCGGCCGC